Non-coding RNA from Oryctolagus cuniculus (rabbit), 5092 nucleotides. The record is from RefSeq and is a predicted model, not a curated record. Lineage: Eukaryota; Metazoa; Chordata; Mammalia; Lagomorpha; Leporidae.
AACUGGGCGCGUGGGUCUCAGUGGGGGCAGUGGAGGAAGAGGGCGCUAGCGCUUUGCAAAUGUGUUUAUCCACGUAUUUAUUGAGAGCCAGAGGUAGACAGGGACAGGGAUCUCACGUGCACUAAUUCACUCCGCCAAAUGCCAGGACGAAGCCAGGAGCCCAGAAUCCAAUCGGGGUCUCCCAGGUGGGUGGCAGAGACCCCUCCCCACCCCGCCGCUUGAGGAUGCGCCUGUUGCCUCUACAAUAGCAGGCAGGCAGCUGGAACUGGACGCAGAGCUGGGAUUCCCACCCCAGUGGCAUCGUAACCGCUGUGCCAAACGCCACUCCUGGGGCAUCUCUUGGGAGACACCCUCUGUGGGGCAGGAAACUGAGCCCAAGAGAAGAAAGGGGAGAAGGUGCUGCAGCAAACCUGCGGCGGGGGCCGGGCAGGGGCUGCACCUGGAUGGUGCCAGCUCACCUGCUCAGCGCCCUGGGAGGUGGGCGUGAACAACCCUCUUCUAUGGAUGAAGGAGCCGAGAGGGAGCUAGGCAGAAUAACACACGCACACCAGGCCUAGCGCCAAGGCGUCAGUCUCCCAAGGCACGUGGCUGAUGGAGAGUCCUCCCUGCCACCAAGACAGACCCUCCCUUGAAGCCCUGCAUGAACCAACAGACUCUUCUGAAGGCUGCCUGCCAGGCUUCGGCCAUGGCCGGGACAGAGGGCACCUCCUAGGGCAGCUCCCCAAAGUCUUGUUGGAAAGCACCGUGUUUGCUAUGGAGAUGGGGAGAUGGGCACAGAGGAAGGGAAGACAUGGAGUGUGGCCCAGGGGAAGGCGCACAACCUGAGGCCCGAAUCCCCGAAUCCCCUACUCUGCCGCGAAGCAGCAGGUGCGGCUCCCAGCCUUGCAGUUACCAGCUGGACGUGAGCUGGGGCGGGGGUGGGGGCGGGGGCGGGGGGCGUUCAGAUUACAGCUGCUGUUGUGGCUGAGGCUUCGCUCCACCCCCAGCGCCAGCACGGAGCAGAAUCCUGCAGUAGCUGAAUCCUGAGGCUUCCUUCAGCUUCGGGAUCCCGCGGUCCCGUUCCCCCCACCGCUCGUGCCCAUUCCCGGCCCUCCGCGCAGCUCUUGGCUGUCUGCGGACGCUUCCUGAUAAGGCAAACACCAGGCUGUUUUUAAUUUGCGCUCGCUGGCUGGUGCGCCUGGUGACCCUCAGCCCUGAGUGGUUCAGCGACCAGAUCCAGCACAGCUUGGGGGCGGGGCGGGAGAGGGAGCAGCUGGAGCGGAGGAAUCAAGACAGAGCCCCACUCAGAGCGCGUGGGCAGAGCGCGUGGGCAGAGCGCGUGGGUGGUCCUCCCCCAAGGGCGGCCGUGUCCGUGGGUUUUCCCAGCUCCAAGGUCGCGCUGGGAGUUCCCUGAGCUGUGAAGGCACCCAGGUUGCUCAGGAUAGGGCUACUACUCAGUUGGUGCUGGGCUGAUUGUUAAAAUACAAAGGAGCCAUUUGUAUCCUGCCCUGGCCUGUCAAUCAGAGGGACUCCAGGCCCUCCAUCCCCUCUGAUUGGGCAGGGCUCAGCUGGCCUGGUUGUCCCAUAGUUUGUUUUUGUUUUAAGAUAGGAGAGUGUAAAGAGUUGGGGGUGGGGGCUGAGUUAGAGAGAGAGAGAGAGAGACAGAUCUUGCAUCUGCUGGUUCACUCCCCAAUUCGGCCACAAUGGCCAUAGUUGGCCUAGGCCAAAGCCAGGAGCUAGAAACUCCAUCUGGACCUCCCACGUGGGUGGCAGGACCCGAGCACCUGGUCAUCCUCUACUGCCUUCCCAGUGUGUGGGAGGGAGCUGGAUGGGAAGUGGAGGAGCUGGGAGUCUUUCGGGGCUCCCACAUGGGGUGCCGAUGUCGCAGGCUGCAGUUUCACGUGCCUGGUCGGCUUGUUAAAGGUUUUCACCGUGGGCCCUGGUGUCGGGAGUCCUGGCUCCACGGUAAAGUAAAGGGUUGGCUGAGCAGCUUCCGUGCCUGCUUCGAGCCUCUGUCCUCGCAGACUGGAGCGUGGGGGCCAGCGGCAGGGUGUGAGUGAGGCGCUUAGCCCAGGGCACAGGCUCAGUGUUUGGUCCGUGGGAACUGGCGUGACUAAAAGACUCCGCAGGCUGCAAUCUCCCAGGAGCCCCGGGACCCCGGGGCUGUGUCCGCACUGGUGACGCCGGGGCGUCAGGCUGGCAUCCGGGACAGCUCCGAGCCCGUCUCUGGAGGCCUCUCCCAGGAAAAGUGCUGGUCGCUUAGGGGACCAGGCAGCUCCUUCAGCCAGGCGGGGAUUCUUGGAGAUUUCCCACAGCUGCUAGCCUUGGGCUGGGAUGUUCUUCCCAAAGGCCCUGCUCUGGGAGGUCUAGGAAUUUGCCUCUCAGAUUGGGGGCAGGGCAAGGACUGCAGCCUGGCUCUUUCCACUCCCAGCUUGGAUGAGCGACCAGGAAGGAGAGGAUGCUGAGAGCUAAAGCAGGUCUCCUUCUCCCUGCCGCGCGGGGUCGGCUCCACAGCUGAUCCUCUGCUGUGCCUGCUAAGAGGCUGUAGGUCUCCCCUUGUUUCAUCUUUCAGGGAAUCCCGUUGGGUCGGUGUUUGCAAGCCCAUCUUGUGGAUGAAGAAACUGAGACUUGAGGCUGAUGGGACUCAAUGAAGGGCUCAGCCAGUAGAGAGCAGAUCUGGAAUAUUAUUCAGUCUUCAUAAAGGACGGGGGGGGGGCUGACAUUUGCAAUGACAGGGAUGGAGGUCCGGGACGUUACACCAAGGGGCACAAGCCAGGCAGGGCGAGGGAAAUACUCACUUUUACGUAGAAUCUAAAGUUGCCAAACUCGAAGGAGGAGCAAGGAAGGCGGCGGCGGCCAGGGGCUAGGGGAAGGGCGGUCAGUGGGCUUAAGGAGUUUUCAGGUGUGCAAGAGGGGUAGGUUCUGGAGAUCCGAGAACAGCCAACAGCACUGUAACAUACAGCUGAAAUCCGCCACGAGGGUAGACUUUUUUUUUUUUUUUUUUUUUUUGACAGAGUGGACAGUGAGAGAGAGAGACAGACAGAAAAGUCUUCCUUUUGCCGUUGGUUCACCCUCCAAUGGCCGCCACGGCCCGGCACACAGCGCUGAUCCAAUGGCAGGAGCCAGGUACUUAUCCUGGUCUCCUAUGGGGUGCAGGGCCCAAGGCCUUGGGCCAUCCUCCACUGCACUCCCUGGCCACAGCAGAGAGCUGGCCUGGAAGAGGGGCAACCAGGACAGAAUCCGGCGCCCCAACCGGGACUAGAAUCCGGUGUGCCGGCGCUGCAAGGCGGAGGAUUAGCCUAGUGAGCCGCGGCGCCGGCUGAGGGUAGACCUUGAAUCUCCUCCACAUGCCUGCACACAUGGACGUGCACACACAGAGCGGGAGCAGUCUGGAAAUGCACACUCAGUUUCCGCAGUGCACUGUCUCCAUGGCAUUUCCCAGAGACCCCCUCAUCUGCAUGGAUUUCAACGUGUUUUUUUUGCACAACAUAAACUCAUCUUUGAAUUCCACUUUGCACAAACUUUUUGAGGAGCCUCCUAUACACAAUUUGAUGUGACCGUCACAUCGUGAUAAGGCUCAGCUGUCUUUGUAUUUUUUUAUGAAAAGAGCAGUAAGGGAUUGGAAGGAGGUGGAAAGCCCCUGUCUCCCUGGCUGGUUAGCGUCGCAGUGCAGUACAAUCCCUUCGCUUGUUUUUUGCCUUCCGCGCUCACACGCCUGUACCGUGCUUUGCUGCAGACGUUUCUGUCUUAGAUCAACUCGCUUUGGAUGAAGUUAAAUUCUCAUCACUGCAGAAGGCGAUCAGGAAGCCAGCCCAGUGACAGGCAGCUGGGGGUGAGCUCUGAGCUGACCCUGGUUGACUGCCCGAGGGCCUGGUGCUAAGUGCAGUCCCCUCUUUGUUAAAGGCACACAGUCACUCGGGCGAGCUGUCCGUCCCUUUAGAUGUAAGUGCAAGGGUUGAAAAGCUUGGAAGAGAAAUAACUUCCCAGCAGGCGGGGUCAGCCUGGAGGCCUGGAGCUGAGACGCCUGGGACAGGUCUAGUCCCGCCCCCUGGGCCUCAGUUUCUCCCUGUGGCUCUAUGACACUGCCACCUGUGCAGUGUCCUCACACCUGUCGGGAUGCUGACUGCCCUGCUAUUUUGAUUUUUUAAGAUUUAUUUUUUAGAAAGAGUGACGGAGAGAGAGAAAAAGAUCUUUCAUCUGCUGGUUCAUUCCCCAAAUGGUCACAACAGCCAGGGUGGGGCCAGGCCAAAGCCAGGAGCAAAGGGCUUUACCUGGGUCUCCCACAUAGGUGGUAGGGACUCAAGUCCCUGGGCCAUCAUCUACUGCCUUCCCCAGGCACAUUAGCAGGAAGCUGGAUUGGAAGCGGAGCAGCUGGGACUCGAACCAGUGCUCAAAUACGGGACGCUGGGCUCCCAAGCUGCAGCUUGACCAGCUGCGCCACAGUUCCGGCCCCUGCAACGCAGUGUUCACACCACCUCAAGCGUUAGGUGCUAUGGUCAUCCCCUCUGGCCUACCAGGAAGCAGCUGCAGAGAGGCAGGACCCCAGCCCCAAAGCUGACAGUCAGGAAGGGUCCACAUUGGAAAGCUGCUCCAUGAGCCUGCGAAGCCCACGCCUGGACGGCGGCCACCCUGGGACAGUGGACCGGGUGCCCGCUGGCUGGUGUGCAGAUGGUGAAGCAGAGCCAGCCCUGCCCAGGCAGCAGGAGGGAGGUCUGAACGUUUGGCUCCGGGUCUGUGUCAAAAGCUGGACUUGACAGAACCCCCCCUCCCCCGGGGUAUCUGGGCUCCUGUGACUCCAGAUUGCUGUUUGCAGCAAGAAAAACAAACACAAAGCCACCCUCCCUGGCCCUUCAGGGUGCCUUGCCUCAUGCCUUGGUUCAUCAAGAACCCUGCAUUGAGAACAGGCCGAGCCAGCCCUGCCCACUGCGAAGACCUCCGGUGACUGAACCCCGGCUUCCCCUCCACGACCUUUCGUGCAGUCUGAGUCUGCUGCCAGGGGCGGCCUCCGUGCAGCCCCGCGGUUGGCCACUCUGAGCCUGGAGACCAGGAUCCCAGUUGCAGCUCCCACUGCCACUCACCAGCUGGGUGCCCUUGCACCCUCUUUCUGGGCCUC